Molecule: ribosomal RNA, 497 nt
Filed under: uncultured bacterium
Lineage: Bacteria
Description: partial 16S ribosomal RNA
Rfam family: Bacterial small subunit ribosomal RNA
Source: RNAcentral
GAUGAACGCUGGCGGCGUGCCUAAUACAUGCAAGUCGAGCGAACGGACGAGAAGCUUGCUUCUCUUAUGUUAGCGGCGGACGGGUGAGUAACACGUGGAUAACCUACCUAUAAGACUGGGAUAACUUCGGGAAACCGUAGCUAAUACCGGAUAAUAUUUUGAACCGCAUGGUUCAAAAGUGAAAGACGGUCUUGCUGUCACUUAUAGAUGGAUCCGCGCUGCAUUAGCUAGUUGGUAAGGUAACGGCUUACCAAGGCAACGAUGCAUAGCCGACCUGAGAGGGUGAUAGGACACACUGGAACUGAGACACGGUCCAGACUCCUACGGGAGGCAGCAGUAGGGAAUCGUCCGCAAUGGGCGAAAGCCUGACGGAGCAAAGCCGCGUGAGUGAUGAAGGGCUUCGGAUCGUAAAACUCUGUUAUUAGGGAAGAACAUAUGUGUAAGGAACUGUGCACAUCUUGACGGUACCUAAUCAGAAAGCCACGGCUAACUACGUG